AUUGAACGCUGGCGGCAGGCCUAACACAUGCAAGUCGAGCGAGCGGCAGACGGGUGUGUAAUGUCUGGGAAACUGCCUGAUGGAGGGGGAUAACUUCUGGAAACGGUAGCUAAUACCGCUUACCAUCAGAUGUGCCCAGACGGGAUUAGCUUGUGGGUGGGGUUACGGCUCACCUAGGCGACGAUCCCUAGCUGGUCUGAGAGGAUGACCAGCCGCACGGGAACUGGGACACGGUCCAUAGGCCUACGGGAGGGAGCAGUGGGGAAUAUGGGACAAUGGGGGGAAGCCUGGCACAGCGGUGGGGCGUGUGUGAAGGAGGCGUUGGGGUGGUAAAGAAGUUUCUGCGGGGAGGCGGUACACGCAGAAGAAGCACCGGCUAACUCCGUGCCAGCAGCCGCGGUAAUAC
RNAcentral lists this ribosomal RNA (406 nucleotides) under uncultured bacterium. RNAcentral describes it as "partial 16S ribosomal RNA". It matches the Rfam family "Bacterial small subunit ribosomal RNA", at positions 28 to 526 of the family's 1533-position model. The record is from RNAcentral.